GACGAACGCUGGCGGCGUGCUUAACACAUGCAAGUCGAACGGAAAGGCCCUGCUUUUGUGGGGUGCUCGAGUGGCGAACGGGUGAGUAACACGUGAGUAACCUGCCCUUGACUUUGGGAUAACUUCAGGAAACUGGGGCUAAUACCGGAUAGGAGAUACUGCUGCAUGGUGGGGGUUGGAGAGUUUCGGCGGUUGGGGAUGGACUCGCGGCUUAUCAGCUUCUUGGUGGGGUAGUGGCUUACAAAGGCUUUGACGGGUAGCCGGCCUGGGAGGGUGACCGGCCACAUUGGGACUGAGGUACGGCCCAGACUGGUACGGGAGGCAGCAGGGGGGAAUAUUGCGGAGUGGGCGGAAGCCUGAUGCAGCAACGCUGCGUGCGGGAUGACGGCUUUCGGGGUGUAAACCGCUUUCGCCUGUGACGAAGCGGGAGUGACGGUAAUGGGUAAAGAAGCACCGGCUAACUACGUG
This 468-nucleotide ribosomal RNA is filed under the name uncultured bacterium. Its description in RNAcentral is "partial 16S ribosomal RNA". It matches the Rfam family "Bacterial small subunit ribosomal RNA", at positions 28 to 507 of the family's 1533-position model. The record is from RNAcentral.